RNAcentral lists this ribosomal RNA (1519 nucleotides) under metagenome. Its description in RNAcentral is "bacterial SSU rRNA". It matches the Rfam family "Bacterial small subunit ribosomal RNA". The record is from RNAcentral.
AGAGUUUGAUCCUGGCUCAGAAUGAACGCUGGCGGCGUGCUUAACACAUGCAAGUCGAACGAGAAAGUACCUGCUUGCAGGUACGAGUAGAGUGGCGCACGGGUGAGUAACGCGUGGAUAAUCUACCUUUGGAUCUGGGAUAACAUUGCGAAAGCGGUGCUAAUACCGGAUAAUAUCGUAAUAUCUGCGGAUAUAGCGAUGAAAGGCAGCCAAUCCUUGGAAGCAGUUGUCUGAAGAUGAGUCCGCGUACCAUUAGCUAGUUGGUGGGGUAAAGGCCUACCAAGGCGACGAUGGUUAGCUGGUCUGAGAGGAUGAUCAGCCACACUGGAACUGACACACGGUCCAGACUCCUACGGGAGGCAGCAGUGAGGAAUUUUGCGCAAUGGGGUAACCCCUGACGCAGCAACGCCGCGUGAGUGAUGAAGGCUUUUGGGUCGUAAAACUCUGUCAAUGGGAAAGAAAUUACAAUAUAUUAAUAGUGUGUUGUAUUGACGGUACCCAUGAAGGAAGCACCGGCUAACUCCGUGCCAGCAGCCGCGGUAAUACGGGGGGUGCAAGCGUUAUUCGGAAUUAUUGGGCGUAAAGGGCGCGCAGGCUGUAUACUAGGUCAGAUGUGAAAGUUCAGGGCUUAACUCUGAAAGUGCAUUUGAAACCAUUAUACUUGAGUAUGGGAGAGGGAAGUGGAAUUCCAGGUGUAGAGGUGAAAUUCGUAGAUAUCUGGAGGAACACCGGUGGCGAGGGCGACUUCCUGGACCAAUACUGACGCUGAGGCGCGAAGGCGUGGGUAGCGAACAGGAUUAGAUACCCUGGUAGUCCACGCAGUAAACGUUGAUCACUAGGUGUAGCGGGUAUUGACCCCUGCUGUGCCGGAGCAAACGCAUUAAGUGAUCCGCCUGGGGAGUACGAUCGCAAGAUUAAAACUCAAAGGAAUUGACGGGGGCCCGCACAAGCGGUGGAGCAUGUGGUUUAAUUCGACGCAACGCGAAGAACCUUACCUGGAUUUGACAUCUUGGGAAUACCUUAGAAACUUGGUAGUGCCUUUCGGGGAGCCCAAAGACAGGUGCUGCAUGGCUGUCGUCAGCUCGUGUCGUGAGAUGUUGGGUUAAGUCCCGCAACGAGCGCAACCCUUAUCUUUAGUUACCAUCAUUUAGUUGGGGACUCUAGAGAUACUGCCCCGGUUAACGGGGAGGAAGGUGGGGAUGACGUCAAGUCCUCAUGGCCUUUAUAUUCAGGGCUACACACGUGCUACAAUGGUAUGUACAAAGAGUUGCUAAGCCGCGAGGUCAAGCUAAUCUCAUAAAGCAUAUCUUAGUUCGGAUUGGAGUCUGCAACUCGACUCCAUGAAGUUGGAAUCGCUAGUAAUCGUAGAUCAGCAUGCUACGGUGAAUACGUUCCCGGGCCUUGUACACACCGCCCGUCACACCAUGAGAGUUGACUGUACCAGAAGUUGUUGAGGUAACCUUCGGGAGCCAGGCACCUAAGGUAUGGUUGAUAAUUGGGGUGAAGUCGUAACAAGGUA